CAGCAGCCGCGGUAAUACAGAGGGUGCGAGCGUUAAUUGGAUUUACUGGGCGUAAAGCGUGCGUAGGCGGCUAAUUGAGUCGGAUGUGAAAUCCCCGAGCUUAACUUGGGAAUUGCAUUCGAUACUGGUUAGCUAGAGUGUGGGAGAGGAUGGUAGAAUUCCAGGUGUAGCGGUGAAAUGCGUAGAGAUCUGGAGGAAUACCGAUGGCGAAGGCAGCCAUCUGGCCUAACACUGACGCUGAGGUACGAAAGCAUGGGGAGCAAACAGGAUUAGAUACCCCUGUAGUCCCUGUCUCUUAUAC
RNAcentral lists this ribosomal RNA (301 nucleotides) under uncultured bacterium. RNAcentral describes it as "partial 16S ribosomal RNA". It matches the Rfam family "Bacterial small subunit ribosomal RNA", at positions 509 to 807 of the family's 1533-position model. The record is from RNAcentral.